This is a long non-coding RNA of Apis dorsata (giant honeybee), 911 nucleotides long. RefSeq lists it as uncharacterized. NCBI's taxonomy places the organism in Eukaryota, Metazoa, Arthropoda, Insecta, Hymenoptera, Apidae. The record is from RefSeq and is a predicted model, not a curated record. The transcript has 2 exons.
GAUAAUCAUAUAUAUUUGAUUAAUGUAAACGAAUUCUUUAUGAAUUUGACUCACGAUAAGAAGGAACGUGAGUCAAAGCAGACACAUCUUUGUCAUAAAUCAGUGAGAGGCUAAAUACAUAUAAAAUAGAAAGAUGAACUAGACGAAUGAGCGAGAAGUCUAAGUAAGUGAGAGAUCCUUGAAAUCGAUGAGUGAGCGAAGAAGACGAAUAAAUGAGUGAGCAAAUGAAAAAGUCUCAAGAUCAAACAAGUGCGAGUAAGAAGGCGAGUGAAAGGAAUCCCUACUACUUAAGAGAGAAUAAGAUGACGUUCAAGAAGAAAAGAGACAUUCGAUUGAGUUAGCAUAGCGAAAGAAAGAAGAGAAACAAGAUAUUCGAGCAAGAAACGAAAGAAAGAGCGAAAAAUAAGAGAGAAAAAGAGGAAUAUAAUAGGGGAGAAGGAAAAAAGAAACAGAAGAAGAAGGAGAUAUACAUGUAUAGGAAAGGAACGACCAGCUGUUUCCUCAUGUGACGUCACGCAGGCGCCUUGUGGCCGACUAGGGAAUGGAGAUGGACAGGUGGACAAUGCUUUUAACCCUCUAGUCGUACCUGGAUUCUGUUUCCAAUCUACUUGAAUAUUUUUUUCUUUUUUCAAUGCUUUUGUAUUCAUAAUAUCUAAAAAAAAGUCAAUUGUUUAAACUUUCACAAGCUCGAACAAAUUAUGAAAGAUUAAAAUUCAAACUACAAUUCAUUUAACCUCAUUUGCUUUUAAAAUGUCGAUCUCUUUAUGUUUUAACAAAAUACCAAUUUUGUUAAAACCAAUUGAUUACAUCGUGUUUUUUAUUUUCGUUUUAACGAUAUGUUACAUCAGAUGUUCUGUAAUAUAUCUAUAUAAUAUACUGUGUAAUAUAAGUAAAGAUACUACAAAAUAGCG